This 1298-nucleotide long non-coding RNA is filed under the name Physcomitrium patens. RNAcentral's name for it is "long non-coding RNA (PPAT_LNC008088)". The record is from RNAcentral. Lineage: Eukaryota; Viridiplantae; Streptophyta; Bryopsida; Funariales; Funariaceae.
AUGCUGGACUGUCCAGCGAUUCAUCUUUACAGAUGCGCCUGAGCUUUGAAGUGAACAUGCACUAAUUGAGUUCUGCGAAGAUAUCUGGAUCAGCGGAACAAUUUGGGGUUAGAAUGCCCAGCCUCACGAUCUUUUCCAUCAGGAAAAAAGUCUUAUUAGGAAUCACCUAAAACGUCAGCGUUUAAUGAGCACUGGCAUCCAGACGGUAGUGCCUUGCAAUGGAAAAUGUGAAGUUUGUCUUGAUUGGGAAAGAGAGACGAAAUAAAAUGACUGGAAAAGGUCUUAUAGAAAUUUCUCGCCGAAAAGUGCAUUACAAAGUGCAUUACAUAUGGUAACUGAUCGAGGAGUGGCAUCACAAAGUGGAGCAACUAGUUGCAAAUUCCAGUGAUUCCAUUGACAAGCGAACAAAUGUGCCAUGUGACAAAGUAGAAUAUAGCGUCCAAAUCAAUCCUCCAAGUCAAUCUUGUGGCCACGAGGCGUGGUGGAAAUUUUCUUCUUCUUUGUCACAUCCAGAAUUCCGACAACAGCUCGGAAAGCUCUAGAUGCUGAUCGGUUCUUUGGUGUCCCACCUCCGUCGAUUUAGUUAGGUACGCAACUGAAAAAAACACGGAGUUAUCACGAGGUGAGAUCCCUCAUCGGCUAAAGUUGUGGAGGCCCCUGCCAUGAGAUCGGCAUGUACCUGCAUCCAUCUGGGGGGAUUUCAAUACGUCUCUUUUAGCCUGCCCAGAUGACUCCGACGUCACGGGUAAAAAAUUAAAAAAGCAAUAAAACAAAACACAAGAAUCUCUCCGUUAGACGUCCUCGUCAUCGAUAUUGAGUUUGCUGGACUAUCGUCAUCAAUGCCCGGUUCAUACGCAGAACGAGAUUGCAAACGGAUUCUCAAUCACCUACAUUUAUCAGAAAGGGCUGGAUUCGAGAAAGAUCAAAAUUGGAGAGGCUGCAGCAUGGUAAUGCGAGUCGAUCACCGGAAACGCAGCUGGAAGAAUCAGCCUCACCCAUCCGUUUGUGAGAGAGCCGGUCUAACCGCUUGCGAAGGUAAGCUUCGCAGAGGCUUCGAAGGUGGGGGCACAGACCUAUUCACGACACCAGGAAUUGCGAAGUCGACCAUGAGCGUGUCAGGAUCACAAGCUGAAAGAUCGAGUUAUGCGCUUGGGGUGCUGGGGAGGAUCAGAUGCGAUCCACUGGAGGACGUCGAUGCUGGAUGCUCCCUCCACAUGGCAAGCAACAUGCGCCUAGUGGUGUUGGAGAAGUCACGGCAAGCCCUGCAACUGCAUGCAGAAGGCCAACGUUUGCUUUCC